CACGGGGGUUGCGAGCGUUGUCCGGAGUUACUAGGCGUAAAGGGCAGGCAGGCGGAUCCAUAAGUUUAUCGUUUAAGGCGUCGGCUUAACCGGCGUAGGGCGGUAGAUACUGUGGAUCUGGAAUGCGGUUGGGGAAGACAGAAUUCCUGGUGUAGCGGUGGAAUGCGCAGAGACCAGGAGGAAUACCGAAGGCGAAGGCAGUCUUCCAAGCCGUUAUUGACGCUCAACUGCGAAGGUGUGGGUAUCAAACAGGAUUAGAUACCCUGGUAGUCCCUGAG
This 278-nucleotide ribosomal RNA is filed under the name uncultured prokaryote. RNAcentral's name for it is "partial 16S ribosomal RNA". It matches the Rfam family "Bacterial small subunit ribosomal RNA", at positions 524 to 801 of the family's 1533-position model. The record is from RNAcentral.